GCUGCUGUAGCUUAAGUUGGGAGAGCAAGCGACUUUUAAUCGCGAGGUCGGGGGUUCGAUUCCCUCCAGCAGCA
RNAcentral lists this transfer RNA (74 nucleotides) under Anaerolineales bacterium. RNAcentral's name for it is "tRNA-Lys". It matches the Rfam family "tRNA". From Rfam's summary of the family: Transfer RNA (tRNA) molecules are approximately 80 nucleotides in length. Their secondary structure includes four short double-helical elements and three loops (D, anti-codon, and T loops). The record is from RNAcentral. Lineage: Bacteria; Bacillati; Chloroflexota; Anaerolineae; Anaerolineales.